GGGUGCGAAGAGAAUAAAUGGGAUUUUUGCCCCUGUUAUAUUUAGAAUUAUGCGUAAAGUGAUAUUACUCAUGAACCAUACAUAAUACAGACCUAGGGUGUUUUAAUUUGGGAUCCUUGGUUUAUGACCUUGAAAUUGAGGUCAAAGUCAUAGGUUAAUUGGACGUUCUAGAUUUUGACCUUUGCUUGAAAUUCAUAUUUAUAUAUCAUUUAGCCAUAGGAACUGACAUUUUCAACUGAAUUUUAAUAUUUUCAUAUCAAAAUAGAUCCUUAUUGGUGGAAAGACCUUCAAUUGUUCUUUGAACAAUUGGUUUUUAAUUUCACUUGUUUUCGUGUUUUGACGUUUUUUCUCUCAAUGUCUCGUGUUUGGUUUGAUGUGGGUCUCUUGUGUUUCCCCUUAUUUAUUGUCCAUGUUUCCUGUCGUAC
This 425-nucleotide long non-coding RNA is filed under the name Mytilus galloprovincialis (Mediterranean mussel). The record is from RNAcentral. Lineage: Eukaryota; Metazoa; Mollusca; Bivalvia; Mytilida; Mytilidae.